CCUACGGGAGGCAGCAGUGGGGAAUAUUGCUCAAUGGGGGAAACCCUGAAGCAGCAACGCCGCGUGGAGGAUGACGGUUUUCGGAUUGUAAACUCUUUUUGUUAGAGAAGAAAAUGACGGUAUCUAACGAAUAAGCACCGGCUAACUCCGAGCCAGCAGCCCGGGCAAUACGGAGGGUGCAAGCGUUAAUCGGAAUCACGGGGCGGAAAGCGCGCGUAGGCGGGAGAGCAAGUCAGAGGGUAAAUCCUAUGGGUUAACCAUAGAACUGCAUUUGAAACUGAUAUUCUUGAGUAUGGGAGAGGUAGGUGGAAUUCGUGGUGUAGGGGUGAAAUCCGUAGAGAUCAAGAGGAAUACUCAUUGCGAAGGCGGCCUGCUAGAGCAUAACUGACGCUGAUGCGCGAAAGCGUGGGGAGCGAACAGGAUUAGAUACCCGUGUAGUC
This 440-nucleotide ribosomal RNA is filed under the name uncultured bacterium. RNAcentral describes it as "partial 16S ribosomal RNA". It matches the Rfam family "Bacterial small subunit ribosomal RNA", at positions 338 to 795 of the family's 1533-position model. The record is from RNAcentral.